Molecule: unclassified non-coding RNA, 380 nt
Filed under: uncultured bacterium
Lineage: Bacteria
Description: contains 16S-23S intergenic spacer region
Source: RNAcentral
UCCUUGUUUCCAAGGCAGUCUCGCUAAAGUGCCCAACUAAAUGUAGCAACUAGCGACAAGGGUUGCGCUCGUUAAAGGACUUAACCCAACAUCUCACGACACGAGCUGACGACAGCCAUGCAGCACCUGUGUAAUUGUCUUGGUUUCCCAAGAACACUCUAUCUCUAGAGCUGUCAAAAACAUGUCAAGCCUAGGUAAGGUUUCUCGCGUAGUGUCGAAUUAAACCACAUGUUCCACCGCUUGUGCGGACCCCCGUCAAUUUCUUUGAGUUUUAAUCUUGCGACCGUACUACUCAGGCGGAUCACUUAACGCGUUAGCUUCGAUACGGAUCCCCCAAGGGAGACCCACAUCUAGUGAUCAUCGUUUACAGCGUGGACUAC